GAUGAACGCUGGCGGCGUGCCUAAUACAUGCAAGUCGAGCGAACAGACGAGGAGCUUGCUCCUCUGACGUUAGCGGCGGACGGGUGCGUAACACGUGGAUAACCUACCUCUAAGACUGGGAUAACUUCGGGAAACCGGAGCUAAUACCGGAAAAUAUAUUGAACCGCAUGGUUCAAUAGUUAAAGAAGGUUUUGCUGUCACUUAUAGAUGGAUCCGCGCCGCAUUAGCUAGUUGGUGAGGUAACGGCUUACCAAGGCAACGAUGCGUAGCCGACCUGAGAGGGUGAUCGGCCAGACGGGAAGUGAGACACGGUCCAGACUCCUACGGGGAGCAGCAGUAGAGAAUCUUCCGCGAAGGGCGAAAGCCUGACGGAGCAACGCCGCGUGAGUGAUGAAGGUCUUCGGAUCGUAAAACUCUGUUAUUAGGGAAGAACAAAUGUGUAAGUAACUAUGCACGUCUUGACGGUACCUGAACAGAAAGCCACGGCUAACUACGUG
This 497-nucleotide ribosomal RNA is filed under the name uncultured bacterium. RNAcentral describes it as "partial 16S ribosomal RNA". It matches the Rfam family "Bacterial small subunit ribosomal RNA", at positions 28 to 507 of the family's 1533-position model. The record is from RNAcentral.